RNAcentral lists this ribosomal RNA (243 nucleotides) under Triticum aestivum (bread wheat). RNAcentral's name for it is "partial small subunit ribosomal RNA". Lineage: Eukaryota; Viridiplantae; Streptophyta; Magnoliopsida; Poales; Poaceae. The record is from RNAcentral.
AUGCAGGCGAGGAGGAGUCCCAGCGGCGGAGCUCCAUGGGAGGCGCAGCUAUGCACGGCAGACGAGCAGGAGGCUCACGGGGCCUCGGGUGCGGCGUGCAGAGGAGGCAGCGGCGCGACUCUGGAGCAUGGCAGGAGGAGGAGAGGAGGAAGGAGAUCGGGAAGAGAAGGUUGGUGGCGCUGGGAGAUCGAAGAAAGAGGAGGGGGGAUCCAGCAAGUCCUCCUGGCUCGAUGCGUGCGUUGA